GAUGAACGCUGGCGGCGUGCCUAAUACAUGCAAGUCGAGCGAACAGACGAGGAGCUUGCUCCUUUGACGUUAGCGGCGGACGGGUGAGUAACACGUGGAUAACCUACCUAUAAGACUGGGAUAACUUCGGGAAACCGGAGCUAAUACCGGAUAACAUGUUGAACCGCAUGGUUCAACAGUGAAAGACGGUCUUGCUGUCACUUAUAGAUGGAUCCGCGCCGCAUUAGCUAGUUGGUAAGGUAACGGCUUACCAAGGCAACGAUGCGUAGCCGACCUGAGAGGGUGAUCGGCCACACUGGAACUGAGACACGGUCCAGACUCCUACGGGAGGCAGCAGUAGGGAAUCUUCCGCAAUGGGCGAAAGCCUGACGGAGCAACGCCGCGUGAGUGAAGAAGGUCUUCGGACCGUAAAACUCUGUUAUUAGGGAAGAACAAAUGUGUAAGUAACUAUGCACGUCUUGACGGUACCUAAUCAGAAAGCCACGGCUAACUACGUG
This 497-nucleotide ribosomal RNA is filed under the name uncultured bacterium. RNAcentral's name for it is "partial 16S ribosomal RNA". It matches the Rfam family "Bacterial small subunit ribosomal RNA", at positions 28 to 507 of the family's 1533-position model. The record is from RNAcentral.